Molecule: ribosomal RNA, 253 nt
Filed under: uncultured bacterium
Lineage: Bacteria
Description: partial 16S ribosomal RNA
Rfam family: Bacterial small subunit ribosomal RNA
Source: RNAcentral
UACGGAGGGUGCAAGCGUUAUCCGGAUUCACUGGGUUUAAAGGGUGCGUAGGUGGGUCUGUAAGUCCGUGGUGAAAUCUCCGAGCUUAACUUGGAAACUGCCAUGGAUACUAUAGGUCUUGAAUACUGUGGAGGUCAGCGGAAUAUGUCAUGUAGCGGUGAAAUGCUUAGAUAUGACAUAGAACACCGAUUGCGAAGGCAGCUCGUUACACGAUUAUUGACACUGAGGCACGAAAGCGUGGGGAUCAAACAGG